CCGGAAGCAUGGCAGGCUGUGAUGGCUGCUACUAAUGCAAAUACUCAGCUGAUCAUGCAAAUCAUCCAAGAGCGGAAUCAAAGCAGUCAAGCGAAUCAAGGCAGCAACCAGAACCAGUUUGCAACUCUGCAUCAGUUCCUCGCAAAUGGUCCAAAGACGUUCAGUAACUGCGUUGAGGCUACCGAUGCUGAUGAUUGGUUAGUCGAUCUGGGCAAGCAUUUUGAAUGUAGCAACGUCAGACCUGAAGAUUUCGUCAAGUUCGCGUCUUUCCAGCUCAAGGAUCAGGCCGCAGAGUGGUUUCAGCAGUACCGGGAUUCC
Molecule: ribosomal RNA, 318 nt
Filed under: Triticum aestivum (bread wheat)
Lineage: Eukaryota; Viridiplantae; Streptophyta; Magnoliopsida; Poales; Poaceae
Description: partial small subunit ribosomal RNA
Source: RNAcentral